RNAcentral lists this small RNA (141 nucleotides) under Arabidopsis thaliana (thale cress). Its description in RNAcentral is "ATSL042060". The record is from RNAcentral. Lineage: Eukaryota; Viridiplantae; Streptophyta; Magnoliopsida; Brassicales; Brassicaceae.
GUUUUUUUUUGGUUUUUUUAAGGUUUUUUAAUUUAACCUUAAAAGUCAUUUUCGUAUACAAAGACAAAGAAAAACAGAAAUUUUAGUGGAAAAACAAAUGAUAUGAUGAAUGAAAAAUUUGAAAGUUUACAAAGUUUUUUU